AUUGAACGCUGGCGGCAUGCUUUGCACAUGCAAGUCGAACGGCAGCAUGGGUGCUUGCACCUGAUGGCGAGUGGCGAACGGGUGAGUAAUGUAUCGGAACGUAUCCGGAAAUGGGGGAUAACGUAGCGAAAGUUACGCUAAUACCGCAUAUGCCCUGAGGGGGAAAGGUGGGGAUCGCAAGACCUAUCGUUUUCGGAGCGGCCGAUAUCAGAUUAGCUUGUUGGUGAGGUAAAGGCUCACCAAGGCGACGAUCUGUAGCUGGUCUGAGAGGACGACCAGCCACACUGGGACUGAGACACGGCCCAGACUCCUACGGGAGGCAGCAGUGGGGAAUUUUGGGCAAUGGGGGCAACCCUGAUCCAGCCAUGCCGCGUGAGUGAAGAAGGCCUUCGGGUUGUAAAGCUCUUUCGGACAGAAAGAAAUCGCACUUACUAAUACUAGGUGUGGAUGACGGUACCGUAAGAAGAAGCACCGGCUAACUACGUGCCAGCAGCCGCCGUAA
Molecule: ribosomal RNA, 502 nt
Filed under: uncultured bacterium
Lineage: Bacteria
Description: partial 16S ribosomal RNA
Rfam family: Bacterial small subunit ribosomal RNA
Source: RNAcentral